This 106-nucleotide small nuclear RNA is filed under the name Sorex araneus (European shrew). The record is from RNAcentral. Lineage: Eukaryota; Metazoa; Chordata; Mammalia; Eulipotyphla; Soricidae.
CUACUAGCUUUGGCAACACACACACUGAAAUGGGAAUGACACAGAGAAGAUGAGCACAACCGCUGCACAGGACGAUAUGCAAAUUCAUGAAGCGUUCCACAUUUAA